CUUCCGACGUAACUGUCACGUAGUUUCCGGAGUUCUCCUUUUAAUUGUUGGCGCCGUUUGCCCUCCAGCAGAAGUAAAGAUCUCUUGCUGGCCGUAAGUUACGUAGUUGCAUUAAUUGGAAAAAGAAAAAAUGGAUUAUUAUGAAUUCGGACAUGCCCCAAUAUUAAUGUACCAAUUGUAUAGGGAGUUUAAUUGGGCGAUUUAUACACUUGUAGAAGUAAUACUUUAAUGCAGAAAUUCGAAGUAGUUUCGGCGCCGAAUUACUUUCCGAGAGAAGGCGGCAACCAGUUACUAAAAUUUCUAUUCCUUUAGAAGGAAAAAGUGUGUGCAGUAUCACAGUCAAUUAGGGAACAUUUUUAUGCGUGCAGAGCACGAGACACGGACCGCAGAAGCUGACCGAGCAGCAGCGGACGUCAAAGAGAUGCACCACGUGACUUUUCCGGCAUGCUGCAGUGGGAAUUUCUUGUCUUUCUGGAACAGAGUCUCCUCCGCAAGGAAACCUAUGAUAGCUGCCGUGAACGGUUUUGCACCCAGAGGAGGCUACGAACUCGCCAUGAUGUGUGACAGCAUUUCUGCUAGGUAGACGGCACUGUUCGCACAGCCACGCGGUGACCAGGGAGGGGAGCAGAGGCGUAGGUCGUGAUAGUUGGAAAUGAUAUUCAGAAAGUUCACGGUUGUAUAUUAUCUGCCCGCCCGCACCCAGGUUGGGUGUAACACUUCCCUUCGGUUACUGCAGUGCACGGCAAUAUACCACCGGCGCUCCCUUCAGUUUCACUGUAGUGAACAAGAAGGGAGUGAAGGAAAACGUGAGCUGGAUACAAGUUGACCGGCCCGAAGCCCUCAAUGAAGUCAUCGCCGAUAUUGAGAGAGCUUUCUCAGCGGGAGCAGACAUCAAGGAGAUGCAGAACUGGACUUUGCUACAGCAGUACUAUGACUGUUAAAUAUAAAAUUUAAAAGGACAUGUUUUUUGUCUCAUUGUAUUUCUGGGUCUCAAGUUUAAAGUUAUGAUGAUUUUGUUGUUUAAAUUUGAAAAUCCAUAUUAAAAUAAAUAACAUGCAUUUUCCAGUCGAA
Long non-coding RNA from Brienomyrus brachyistius, 1071 nucleotides. RefSeq lists it as uncharacterized. NCBI's taxonomy places the organism in Eukaryota, Metazoa, Chordata, Actinopteri, Osteoglossiformes, Mormyridae. The transcript has 5 exons. The record is from RefSeq and is a predicted model, not a curated record.